This 317-nucleotide long non-coding RNA is filed under the name Homo sapiens (human). RNAcentral describes it as "HSALNT0343773". Lineage: Eukaryota; Metazoa; Chordata; Mammalia; Primates; Hominidae. The record is from RNAcentral.
GCCAGACUCUGUCUCCAAAAAAAAAAAAACAUGAACAUGGCCAUUCUAAAGUCCUACAGUAUCCAGAUGAGAAACGAGAGAAAGCAUAAGCUUUGGAGUCCAAAGAUCAGGAUUUUAGCGUCAGCACUCCACACCUUAGCUAUACAAUCUCAAAGCAGCCUGCACCUGUGGCCUCAUGGCGCAUUCUCUACAAUCAGUUGACAGAGGAAGAGAAGACUCAGGCCUGGUUUACAGAUGAUUUUGCAUUCUACGCAGAUCUUAUCACAAUGAAUAAUUUGGUCUUGCUCGAUCACCCAGGCUGGAGUGCAGCCUCGACC